This 489-nucleotide ribosomal RNA is filed under the name Filobasidium wieringae. RNAcentral describes it as "eukaryotic LSU rRNA". The stretch from base 62 to 215 matches the Rfam family "5.8S ribosomal RNA". The record is from RNAcentral. Lineage: Eukaryota; Fungi; Basidiomycota; Tremellomycetes; Filobasidiales; Filobasidiaceae.
GCUUGCAUCCACUUUUAUACUAAACAAUUUGUAACAAAUGUAGUCUUAUUAUAAUUAAUAAAACUUUUAACAACGGAUCUCUUGGCUCUCGCAUCGAUGAAGAACGCAGCGAAAUGCGAUAAGUAAUGUGAAUUGCAGAAUUCAGUGAAUCAUCGAAUCUUUGAACGCACCUUGCGCUCCUUGGUAUUCCGAGGAGCAUGCCUGUUUGAGUGUCAUAAACCUCUCAAACCCAAGUUUUGGAUUUAUCCUUGCUUGAGUUUGGAUUUGGGUGUUUGCCAGUGAUGAACUGACUCACCUUAAAAGUAUUAGCUAGAUCUGUCUUUGACUGGUUUGACUUGGCAUAAUAAGUAUUUUGCUAAGGACAUCUUCGGAUGGCCAGGACUUGACUUUUGUCUGCUUACUAAACCUUACUUUAAGUGCAUCUCUGGUGUUACUUAUAGUAUUACUUUGACAUAUGGCCUCAAAUCAGGUAGGACUACCCGCUGAACU